AGUACAUCUGUCCUGAAAUUAAGUUUGGUCACUCGAAAAGGUGACCAAACUUGAUUUCAGGACAGAUGUACU
Molecule: microRNA precursor, 72 nt
Filed under: Marmota monax (woodchuck)
Lineage: Eukaryota; Metazoa; Chordata; Mammalia; Rodentia; Sciuridae
Source: RNAcentral